RNAcentral lists this ribosomal RNA (496 nucleotides) under uncultured bacterium. RNAcentral's name for it is "bacterial SSU rRNA". It matches the Rfam family "Bacterial small subunit ribosomal RNA", at positions 55 to 523 of the family's 1533-position model. The record is from RNAcentral.
GAGCUUGCCUAGAUGAUUUUAGUGCUUGCACUAAAUGAAACUAGAUACAAGCGAGCGGCGGACGGGUGAGUAACACGUGGGUAACCUGCCCAAGAGACUGGGAUAACACCUGGAAACAGAUGCUAAUACCGCAUAACAACAAAAGCCACAUGGCUUUUGUUUGAAAGAUGGCUUUGGCUAUCACUCUGGGAUGGACCUGCGGUGCAUUAGCUAGUUGGUAAGGUAACGGCUUACCAAGGCGAUGAUGCAUAGCCGAGUUGAGAGACUGAUCGGCCACAAUGGAACUGAGACACGGUCCAUACUCCUACGGGAGGCAGCAGUAGGGAAUCUUCCACAAUGGGCGCAAGCCUGAUGGAGCAACACCGCGUGAGUGAAGAAGGGUUUCGGCUCGUAAAGCUCUGUUGUUGGAGAAGAACGUGCGUGAGAGUAACUGUUCACGCAGUGACGGUAUCCAACCAGAAAGUCACGGCUAACUACGUGCCAGCAGCCGCGGUAA